GGGAAUGUAGCUGAGUGGUAGAGCACUUGCCUAGAAUGUGAGAGGCUCUGGGUUCAAUCCCCAAUAUUGCCA
This 72-nucleotide transfer RNA is filed under the name Heterocephalus glaber (naked mole-rat). It matches the Rfam family "tRNA". From Rfam's summary of the family: Transfer RNA (tRNA) molecules are approximately 80 nucleotides in length. Their secondary structure includes four short double-helical elements and three loops (D, anti-codon, and T loops). Lineage: Eukaryota; Metazoa; Chordata; Mammalia; Rodentia; Bathyergidae. The record is from Rfam by way of RNAcentral.